This 670-nucleotide ribosomal RNA is filed under the name Bacillus sp. 47.2(2013). RNAcentral describes it as "bacterial SSU rRNA". It matches the Rfam family "Bacterial small subunit ribosomal RNA", at positions 68 to 723 of the family's 1533-position model. The record is from RNAcentral. Lineage: Bacteria; Bacillati; Bacillota; Bacilli; Caryophanales; Bacillaceae.
AUCGAUGGGAGCUUGCUCCCUGAGAUUAGCGGCGGACGGGUGAGUAACACGUGGGCAACCUGCCUAUAAGACUGGGAUAACUUCGGGAAACCGGAGCUAAUACCGGAUACGUUCUUUUCUCGCAUGAGAGAAGAUGGAAAGACGGUUUACGCUGUCACUUAUAGAUGGGCCCGCGGCGCAUUAGCUAGUUGGUGAGGUAAUGGCUCACCAAGGCGACGAUGCGUAGCCGACCUGAGAGGGUGAUCGGCCACACUGGGACUGAGACACGGCCCAGACUCCUACGGGAGGCAGCAGUAGGGAAUCUUCCGCAAUGGACGAAAGUCUGACGGAGCAACGCCGCGUGAACGAAGAAGGCCUUCGGGUCGUAAAGUUCUGUUGUUAGGGAAGAACAAGUACCAGAGUAACUGCUGGUACCUUGACGGUACCUAACCAGAAAGCCACGGCUAACUACGUGCCAGCAGCCGCGGUAAUACGUAGGUGGCAAGCGUUGUCCGGAAUUAUUGGGCGUAAAGCGCGCGCAGGUGGUUCCUUAAGUCUGAUGUGAAAGCCCACGGCUCAACCGUGGAGGGUCAUUGGAAACUGGGGAACUUGAGUGCAGAAGAGGAAAGUGGAAUUCCAAGUGUAGCGGUGAAAUGCGUAGAGAUUUGGAGGAACACCAGUGGCGAAGGCG